This is a long non-coding RNA of Cyprinus carpio carpio, 1110 nucleotides long. Lineage: Eukaryota; Metazoa; Chordata; Actinopteri; Cypriniformes; Cyprinidae. The record is from Ensembl.
UUCAGGAACAGGAAAAUCUGUAUAAUGAGUCAUCGAAUUAUUCACUGAACCAAUUUGUUUCAUUAAAAAAAAAAGCUGAUUAAUUCAAGAAAGCAAUAAGAGAAUGUCCUUAUAAAUAACUUAUUGCAUCAUUCAAAUAAUUUGUUUAAGAAAAAAAAAAUUAUUAAGGAACAAAACACCACUACAGUGUUUUGCUGAGAAGCUUAACAGUUCUGUUGUGGCUUUGCUUGGAAGUAUUUGCAUCGGUGGAGCAGAAACAGACAGCAAAAUAGCAGAAGUAACUGGAUCUAGCAUGGAAAAAAACCUGAGAGGGUUCCGGGUGUCAUCACAGAUGAGGGACUUCAAUCAUCAUGCAAAUGAAUUUACCCAAGAUGCCACGCAACUGCAGGAUAAACCUUAGCGAGUCAAAGGAGCUACACUGCUCAAACACACCGUGACAUGUUUACAUAUUGCCAAUUAAUAAUCCAAGAAAAGACCGCAGACACGUGUUUGCAGAUUCCUCAGUGUUUGGUUUAGAGAUACAAAAGAUUAAUAAUGAUGAAGCUCAGUGUCAAGAGACGACCGCAGACAGAUGAACACGUCUCCACUUGAGAUGUGAGGAAAGAGAGGGAGGAAAUGAAAAAGCAGAUAUCAGGCACAGAACGGCUGAUCAGAAGCGAAGACAGAAGUGGCUUCAGGACUGCCGCAGUAUCGCUGCCAAGAACAGCAGCAGAUGCUUGUGAAAACUAGAGCGGCCUGGAUGCUUGAACUCCACCUGACCUUGAACACACACCCUAGUCUCUGGACAGACACAUAAAGACCGGGUUUAAAAGUGCUCCAGUUGACCACAAAUCAACCCCCGGGUGGAGGGAGGUCACUGUUGCGCGGUGAGAACUGUCAGUGAGUGGUGAGUCCCUGCUUGACUUUACGACCUUCUCUUUCAUGAAGUCACAAGUACCUUUAGUGCAGUAAUGGUACGGUCCUGCAUCCAAGAGACAAAAAUAACCACCCGUCCACUGCACGGUCACUCUCCAAGAUAAUCAAAAUUUUCAUAUGACAGCACUCAAAAAGGAAGCAUAAUUCAACCAAAACAAUAAAGCAUCACAUUGGUUGGCAGAUAUGAAAGCUGUG